GACGAACGCUGGCGGCAUGCCUAACACAUGCAAGUCGAGCGAGUAGAUCCCUUCGGGGUGAAGCUAGCGGCGGACGGGUGAGUAACACGUGGGCAACCUGCCUCAUAGAGGGGAAUAGCCUUCCGAAAGGAAGAUUAAUACCGCAUAAGAUUGUAGCUUCGCAUGAAGCAGCAAUUAAAGGAGUAAUCCGCUAUGAGAUGGGCCCGCGGCGCAUUAGCUAGUUGGUGAGGUAACGGCUCACCAAGGCGACGAUGCGUAGCCGACCUGAGAGGGUGAUCGGCCACAUUGGGACUGAGACACGGCCCAGACUCCUACGGGAGGCAGCAGUGGGGAAUAUUGCACAAUAGGGGAAACCCUGAUGCAGCAAUGCCGCGUGAGUGAUGACGGCCUUCGGGUUGUAAAGCUCUGUCUUCGGGGACGAUAAUGACGGUACCCGAGGAGGAAGCCACGGCUAACUACGUGCCAGCCGCCGCGGUAA
This 478-nucleotide ribosomal RNA is filed under the name uncultured bacterium. RNAcentral describes it as "partial 16S ribosomal RNA". It matches the Rfam family "Bacterial small subunit ribosomal RNA", at positions 28 to 523 of the family's 1533-position model. The record is from RNAcentral.